RNAcentral lists this unclassified non-coding RNA (376 nucleotides) under uncultured Entophlyctis. RNAcentral's name for it is "sequence contains ITS1". The stretch from base 1 to 103 matches the Rfam family "5.8S ribosomal RNA", at positions 50 to 154 of the family's 154-position model. The record is from RNAcentral. Lineage: Eukaryota; Fungi; Chytridiomycota; Chytridiomycetes; Chytridiales; Chytriomycetaceae.
GAAAUGCGAUACGUAAUGUGAAUUGCAGAAUAUGUGAGUCAUCGAAUCCUUGAACGCAAAUGGCGCCCAUUGUUCUCCAAUGGGCGCACCUGUUUGAGGGUCGUUUUACCUCCUAUCAAACCCUCCCUCACGGGUUGGUUUGGAUGUUGAGCAUUCGAUGGUCAUAUUUUGUCUAUCGAUUGCUUGAAAUGCAGGGCGAGGAGUAGUCAGAAGCAAUGCCGGGUAUUGGGCUUGAGUCUGGAUGAUUCAAUGAAGCAUUCGUCAAGUCUGUCUCGACUUGCCUCAGCUACUCUCAUGCCAACUAGGAAAAAACCGCAUUUGGCGGUACCCUCCAAAAACCGACCUCAAAUCAGGUGAGAUAACCCGCUGAACUUAA